This 253-nucleotide ribosomal RNA is filed under the name uncultured bacterium. RNAcentral describes it as "partial 16S ribosomal RNA". It matches the Rfam family "Bacterial small subunit ribosomal RNA", at positions 524 to 776 of the family's 1533-position model. The record is from RNAcentral.
UACGUAGGCAGCAAGCGUUGUUCGGAAUUCCUGGGCGUAAAGAGUGUGUAGGCGGUGCUCUAAGUCUGUUUUGAAAUCUCCCGGCUUAACUGGGAGGGUGCGGCGGAAACUGGAGUGCUCGAGGGUGGGAGAGGAAAGCGGAAUUCCUGGUGUAGCGGUGAAAUGCGUAGAUAUCAGGAGGAACACCUGCGGUGUAGACAGCUUUCUGGACCACUUCUGACGCUGAGACACGAAAGCGUGGGGAGCGAACAGG